RNAcentral lists this long non-coding RNA (237 nucleotides) under Nicotiana tabacum (common tobacco). RNAcentral's name for it is "long non-coding RNA (NTAB_LNC013633)". Lineage: Eukaryota; Viridiplantae; Streptophyta; Magnoliopsida; Solanales; Solanaceae. The record is from RNAcentral.
AAGCCUACCCCUACCCCCUCUACCCCAUCAACCCCAUCAUCAAAGGGUAAGUGCCCAAAUGACACACUUAAGCUAAAUGUGUGUGCCAACUUGUUGAAUGACUUGGUGCACCUUGUUAUUGGAAGUAGCCCAGCCAAAACUGAAUGCUGCUCUUUAAUUCAAGGACUUGCUGAUCUUGAUGCUGCUGUUUGCCUUUGCACUGCCAUUAAAGCCAAUGUGUUGGGAAUUAAUCUCAAU